RNAcentral lists this ribosomal RNA (771 nucleotides) under Pseudarthrobacter siccitolerans. RNAcentral's name for it is "bacterial SSU rRNA". It matches the Rfam family "Bacterial small subunit ribosomal RNA", at positions 632 to 1399 of the family's 1533-position model. RNAcentral also lists the same sequence under 1 other name. Lineage: Bacteria; Bacillati; Actinomycetota; Actinomycetes; Micrococcales; Micrococcaceae. The record is from RNAcentral.
ACGGGCAGACUAGAGUGAUGUAGGGGAGACUGGAAUUCCUGGUGUAGCGGUGAAAUGCGCAGAUAUCAGGAGGAACACCGAUGGCGAAGGCAGGUCUCUGGGCAUUAACUGACGCUGAGGAGCGAAAGCAUGGGGAGCGAACAGGAUUAGAUACCCUGGUAGUCCAUGCCGUAAACGUUGGGCACUAGGUGUGGGGGACAUUCCACGUUUUCCGCGCCGUAGCUAACGCAUUAAGUGCCCCGCCUGGGGAGUACGGCCGCAAGGCUAAAACUCAAAGGAAUUGACGGGGGCCCGCACAAGCGGCGGAGCAUGCGGAUUAAUUCGAUGCAACGCGAAGAACCUUACCAAGGCUUGACAUGAACCGGAAAGACCUGGAAACAGGUGCCCCGCUUGCGGUCGGUUUACAGGUGGUGCAUGGUUGUCGUCAGCUCGUGUCGUGAGAUGUUGGGUUAAGUCCCGCAACGAGCGCAAUCCCUCGUUCUAUGUUGCCAGCACGUGAUGGUGGGGACUCAUAGGAGACUGCCGGGGUCAACUCGGAGGAAGGUGGGGACGACGUCAAAUCAUCAUGCCCCUUAUGUCUUGGGCUUCACGCAUGCUACAAUGGCCGGUACAAAGGGUUGCGAUACUGUGAGGUGGAGCUAAUCCCAAAAAGCCGGUCUCAGUUCGGAUUGGGGUCUGCAACUCGACCCCAUGAAGUCAGAGUCGCUAGUAAUCGCACAUCAGCAACGCUGCGGUGAAUACGUUCCCGGGCCUUGUACACACCGCCCGUCA